RNAcentral lists this ribosomal RNA (1621 nucleotides) under Salmonella enterica. RNAcentral describes it as "partial 23S ribosomal RNA". It matches the Rfam family "Bacterial large subunit ribosomal RNA", at positions 1200 to 2803 of the family's 2925-position model. RNAcentral also lists the same sequence under 2 other names. The record is from RNAcentral. Lineage: Bacteria; Pseudomonadati; Pseudomonadota; Gammaproteobacteria; Enterobacterales; Enterobacteriaceae.
CUGCGGCAGCGACACUGUGUGUUGUUGGGUAGGGGAGCGUUCUGUAAGCCUGCGAAGGUGGCCUGUGAGGGUUGCUGGAGGUAUCAGAAGUGCGAAUGCUGACAUAAGUAACGAUAAAGCGGGUGAAAAGCCCGCUCGCCGGAAGACCAAGGGUUCCUGUCCAACGUUAAUCGGGGCAGGGUGAGUCGACCCCUAAGGCGAGGCCGAAAGGCGUAGUCGAUGGGAAACGGGUUAAUAUUCCCGUACUUGGUGUUACUGCGAAGGGGGGACGGAGAAGGCUAUGUUGGCCGGGCGACGGUUGUCCCGGUUUAAGCGUGUAGGUGUGUGUUCCAGGUAAAUCCGGUUCACUUUAACACUGAGGCGUGACGACGAGGCACUACGGUGCUGAAGCAACAAAUGCCCUGCUUCCAGGAAAAGCCUCUAAGCAUCAGGUAACAUCAAAUCGUACCCCAAACCGACACAGGUGGUCAGGUAGAGAAUACCAAGGCGCUUGAGAGAACUCGGGUGAAGGAACUAGGCAAAAUGGUGCCGUAACUUCGGGAGAAGGCACGCUGACACGUAGGUGAAGUGAUUUACUCAUGGAGCUGAAGUCAGUCGAAGAUACCAGCUGGCUGCAACUGUUUAUUAAAAACACAGCACUGUGCAAACACGAAAGUGGACGUAUACGGUGUGACGCCUGCCCGGUGCCGGAAGGUUAAUUGAUGGGGUCAGCGCAAGCGAAGCUCCUGAUCGAAGCCCCGGUAAACGGCGGCCGUAACUAUAACGGUCCUAAGGUAGCGAAAUUCCUUGUCGGGUAAGUUCCGACCUGCACGAAUGGCGUAAUGAUGGCCAGGCUGUCUCCACCCGAGACUCAGUGAAAUUGAACUCGCUGUGAAGAUGCAGUGUACCCGCGGCAAGACGGAAAGACCCCGUGAACCUUUACUAUAGCUUGACACUGAACAUUGAGCCUUGAUGUGUAGGAUAGGUGGGAGGCUUUGAAGUGUGGACGCCAGUCUGCAUGGAGCCGACCUUGAAAUACCACCCUUUAAUGUUUGAUGUUCUAACGUGGACCCGUUACCCGGGUUGCGGACAGUGUCUGGUGGGUAGUUUGACUGGGGCGGUCUCCUCCUAAAGAGUAACGGAGGAGCACGAAGGUUGGCUAAUCCUGGUCGGACAUCAGGAGGUUAGUGCAAUGGCAUAAGCCAGCUUGACUGCGAGCGUGACGGCGCGAGCAGGUGCGAAAGCAGGUCAUAGUGAUCCGGUGGUUCUGAAUGGAAGGGCCAUCGCUCAACGGAUAAAAGGUACUCCGGGGAUAACAGGCUGAUACCGCCCAAGAGUUCAUAUCGACGGCGGUGUUUGGCACCUCGAUGUCGGCUCAUCACAUCCUGGGGCUGAAGUAGGUCCCAAGGGUAUGGCUGUUCGCCAUUUAAAGUGGUACGCGAGCUGGGUUUAGAACGUCGUGAGACAGUUCGGUCCCUAUCUGCCGUGGGCGCUGGAGAACUGAGGGGGGCUGCUCCUAGUACGAGAGGACCGGAGUGGACGCAUCACUGGUGUUCGGGUUGUCAUGCCAAUGGCACUGCCCGGUAGCUAAAUGCGGAAGAGAUAAGUGCUGAAAGCAUCUAAGCACGAAACUUGCCCCGAG